AUGGUUCACAGCGGCUCUUCUUCCCCAAUGAAAACAGCACCAUCAGCAUCACCUCAUUUAACUGUUCCUGCUCCAGCUCCCCCUCUGCAAAUAGCACCUCCUCUGGUGACUGUCUCUGAAGAUACUACUGGCCAGGAGUUAACCCAGCACCCUGCAAAGCUCCUCAUCACAGAACUUACUUCUACUCCAUCUCCAACUGGUGCCGAACCGCCCGUUGUAACCCCAGCAAAAGUGCAUACAACUAGCUCUAGCCAACCAUCUCCCUGGUCUUCAACACAAACUCCACCCCCUGCUCAGCUCGCCGUCAAUGGCCGUACAUCAGGCAGGAAGAGGACGCCUAAGGCUUGUGACUGUUGUGGCCCCAACAGUACGGGACACAAUGUUCAAACCUCAGGCAGAGGGAGGGGGAGAGGUAGAGGGAGAGGUAAAGGGCCUGGUAGGGACCUUAGUGAAACACCUAAAAGAAAAGUGGGGGGUCAGCUGACGCGCAUCAAGAACCCUGAUUUAAUCCAGGACAUUGUAGAAGAAGCAGAGAAUGAAGAUUGCAUACAAAAGACAAUGCAAGCCACUGAAGUGGUGGACAAUACUCAGCCGCAGACACUUGUUCCCCUAGCUGUCGCAUCCCUUCAUGAUGGAUCAAUAAGAAACUGUGUCACUCCAGAGAAAGGGGAUUCACCGAUAAAUGAACACAUGUGGACAGAGGGGUCAGAGGUUAUUGGCUCAGUAGGGAAGACAGUUGGUCAUCUGGAGAUGAAGUUGCCUCUAAUUCUAGGCAGGGGAGCACUGGUGGUUAGAGGGAGAGGUGUAAGGGGAAUGAUGGGGUCUACUUGUGUAUCACAAUUUAGAGUAGGAGUUGGAUUAAACAGGGCAGGUAGUAACCAAGAUGAGAAAAAACAUUUAGAGAUUGAACAUGUGGAGCACAUUGACUCCUGCAUAAUUAAAUCUCCAAUAGGAAAUGGGGAGACGGUAAAUUUAUCUGACACAGAACCUGAAGAGCAGACAAAGGACGACAGUGUGAUUAUGAGUGAUCCUGGAUACGGACUAGUAUCCAUCUCAGGUCCUGCUUUGGGUUCAGAGACUCCCCAGGAUCUUGACUCUGAAAUGCAGGUGGAUCAAAUUCCUGAUGAAGCAGACCAAGCUUUUUAUCACUAA
Molecule: long non-coding RNA, 1152 nt
Filed under: Betta splendens (Siamese fighting fish)
Lineage: Eukaryota; Metazoa; Chordata; Actinopteri; Anabantiformes; Osphronemidae
Description: lncRNA (ENSBSLG00000020463.1)
Source: RNAcentral